GACGAACGCUGGCGGCGUGCUUAACACAUGCAAGUCGAACGGAAAGGCCCUGCUUUUGUGGGGUGCUCGAGUGGCGAACGGGUGAGUAACACGUGAGUAACCUGCCCUUGACUUUGGGAUAACUUCAGGAAACUGGGGCUAAUACCGGAUAGGAGCUCCUGCUGCAUGGUGGGGGUUGGAAAGUUUCGGCGGUUGGGGAUGGACUCGCGGCUUAUCAGCUUGUUGGUGGGGUAGUGGCUUACCGAGGCUUUGACGGGUAGCCGGCCUGAGAGGGUGACCGGCCACAUUGGGACUGAGAUACGGCCCAGACUCCUACGGGAGGCAGCGGUGGGGAAUAUUGCACAAUGGGCGGAAGCCUGAUGCAGCAACGCCGCGUGCGGGAUGACGGCCUUCGGGUUGUAAACCGCUUUCGCCUGUGACGAAGCGUGAGUGACGGUAAUGGGUAAAGAAGCACCGGCUAACUACGUG
This 468-nucleotide ribosomal RNA is filed under the name uncultured bacterium. RNAcentral describes it as "partial 16S ribosomal RNA". It matches the Rfam family "Bacterial small subunit ribosomal RNA", at positions 28 to 507 of the family's 1533-position model. The record is from RNAcentral.